UACGGGGGGGGCAAGCGUUGUUCGGAAUUACUGGGCGUAAAGGGCUCGUAGGUGGCCAACUAAGUCAGACGUGAAAUCCCCAGGCUUAACCUGGGAACUGCGUCUGAUACUGGAUGGCUUGAAUUCGGGAGAGGGAUGCAGAAUUCCAGGUGUAGCGGUGGAAUGCGUAGAUAUCAGGAGGAAUACCUGUGGCGAAAGCGGCACCCUGGCAUUAGCCUGACGCUCAUGUGCGAAAGCGUGGGGAGCGAACGGG
Molecule: ribosomal RNA, 253 nt
Filed under: uncultured bacterium
Lineage: Bacteria
Description: partial 16S ribosomal RNA
Rfam family: Bacterial small subunit ribosomal RNA
Source: RNAcentral